This 274-nucleotide ribosomal RNA is filed under the name uncultured bacterium. RNAcentral describes it as "partial 16S ribosomal RNA". It matches the Rfam family "Bacterial small subunit ribosomal RNA", at positions 523 to 796 of the family's 1533-position model. The record is from RNAcentral.
AUACGGAGGGUGCAAGCGUUAUCCGGAAUCAUUGGGUUUAAAGGGUCCGUAUGCGGGCUAAUAGGUCAGGGGUGAAAUCCCACAGCUUAACUGUGGAACUGCCCUUGAUACUGUUGGUCUUGAGUUACUGUGAAGUGGUUAGAAUGUGUAGUGUAGCGGUGAAAUGCAUAGAGAUUACACAGAAUACCGAUUGCGAAGGCAGAUCACUAACUGUAUACUGACGCUAAUGGACGAAAGCGUGGGGAGCGAACAGGAUUAGAAACCCUAGUAGUCC